CGAGAUGCUAGGCGGAUCACGAGAAUAAGCUCUUGUCAUGUGUGUGUCGGGCGCUAAUGGCAUCACAUGGCGUCCUCCCGAGUGGGGACUUCGAUCGUGGCAAUGUUUUUCCUCGGGUUUUUUCCCGAAAUUAAAAAAAAUAAAAAAUUUAAUUUUUUGCCACGAUCGGGGAAACUGCGACAUGGUGCCUGGGCGUUCGGGAUUGUUCUUCGGUGAGUGUCGAUGAUGUGGUGGUGUGGGCCUAGCAAAACCACAGAGGCACGGGUCUCUUGAUUUCGUUUGAAGCAUUAUGCAGGUCAGCAUUGCUCGUGAAAUGCAGCGACUAGGUGCRGCAUGGGAAAAGCAAUGCAUGACAUGCAUUCUACGUCGGACGUGGUGAAGAGGCGRUUAUAAGGCAUGUCCCYUGUCGAUGAAUCGUGCCCGGGAUGUGGUGUUGUCGGCCUCGCAACACCAUUGAGGCGCAGGCUGGCUGAUUCGUGGCCUAGGUAAGAUGAGACGUUGCCUUUUGCUAGCAACAGGUCGUGCCUAGGACGURGUGAUGCGGGCGACUUGAGGCGUGUCCCUUCYCGUUGCUUUGUUACUUGUUCGCGCAUCGGGCGGUGCAUUCUUGGGGCUGUUUUGGGCUUUGGUUUCUUGYUUGGCCUUUGUGUCGGGCGGGGGGCUAUUGUUUGGAUGGUUUCAUGGAAUGUCGAUCGUAAAGGUGCAUGAGUGGUGUUUGGUUUGUUACGGGUGGUUGGAUGUCUGCUUGUGCAGCAACGUCCACGCGUGCAUGCCUCUUCAGUUGUGUUGCAAGGCCCGAUCGCCUUGUGCAUUAUGCGGGUUUUCUGUGCUGCAUACCUAAUCGAUGGCAUCRUAUGGAUSGACGAAGCACCUUUUCGUUGUGCGUUGCUCGCUCGACGCGUGACGGACCCUGAGGCGGUCUUUGUUGUCCAUCUCGUGGAUGCAUUCGCAUCGAUGACCUGGCCGACGGAGAAACGCUUGGUCUCUCGGAUACGAAACCUGAUGUGGGCAAGGGGUCURUCACGACCCGCAUCUGCCCUCGUUUAGCGUUCWCGCUUCUCUGAAACGACAGCUCGUGGUGUUUCGGCUCGUCCGUGCUCCAUGGGCU
This 1108-nucleotide unclassified non-coding RNA is filed under the name Chamaeleon gummifer. Its description in RNAcentral is "Carlina gummifera partial external transcribed spacer". The record is from RNAcentral. Lineage: Eukaryota; Viridiplantae; Streptophyta; Magnoliopsida; Asterales; Asteraceae.